This 383-nucleotide ribosomal RNA is filed under the name uncultured eukaryote. RNAcentral's name for it is "partial 18S ribosomal RNA". It matches the Rfam family "Eukaryotic small subunit ribosomal RNA", at positions 592 to 976 of the family's 1831-position model. The record is from RNAcentral.
CAAUAGCGUAUAUUAAAGUUGUUGCAGUUAAAAAGCUCGUAGUUGGAUUUCUGGUGGGAGCGAUCGGUCUGGCGCUUAGCGCGAGUACUUGCAUCGUCUCCGGCCAUCCUUGGGGAGUGUCUGUCUGGCAUUAGGUUGUCGGGCAGAGGAUCCUCAUCGUUUACUGUGAAAAAAUUAGAGUGUUCAAAGCAGGCUUAUGCCGUUGAAUAUAUUAGCAUGGAAUAAUAAGAUAGGACUUUGGUACUAUUUUGUUGGUUUGCGCACCAAAGUAAUGAUUAAUAGGGACAGUUGGGGGUAUUCGUAUUCCGUUGUCAGAGGUGAAAUUCUUGGAUUUACGGAAGACGAACUACUGCGAAAGCAUUUACCAAGGAUGUUUNCAUUAA